GACGAACGCUGGCGGCGUGGAUUAGGCAUGCAAGUCGAACGGUAUCAUCCUUUCGGGGGUGAGAGAGUGGCGAACUGGUGAGUAACACGUAGGUUAUCUACCCUCAAGACGGGGACAACCCAGGGAAACUUGGGCUAAUACCGGAUGUGAGCAACUUUUAGUUGUUUGAAAGGUGGCGUAAGCUGUCGCUUGGGGAUGAGCCUGCGUCCUAUUAGUUAGUUGGUGAGGUAACGGCUCACCUAGGCAAUGAUAGGUAGGCGGCCUUAACGGGUGGUCGCCCACACUGGGAUUGAGAUACGGCCCAGACUCCUACGGGAGGCAGCAGUCGAGAAUAGUCUACAAUGGUCGGAAGACUGAUAGUGCGACGCCGCGUGAACGAUGAAUCCCUUCGGGGUGUAAAGUUCUUUUAUAUGUGAGCAGUGCUUCUUAUAUUAACAGUAGUGGGGAGAGAGAUAUUAGCAUAUGAAUAAGCAACGGCUAACUCCGUGCCAGCAGCCGCGGUAA
RNAcentral lists this ribosomal RNA (504 nucleotides) under uncultured bacterium. Its description in RNAcentral is "bacterial SSU rRNA". It matches the Rfam family "Bacterial small subunit ribosomal RNA", at positions 28 to 523 of the family's 1533-position model. The record is from RNAcentral.